Molecule: ribosomal RNA, 621 nt
Filed under: Triticum aestivum (bread wheat)
Lineage: Eukaryota; Viridiplantae; Streptophyta; Magnoliopsida; Poales; Poaceae
Description: partial small subunit ribosomal RNA
Source: RNAcentral
AUGGCUCGCGUCGUCGGCGUGCCGCCGCUCCUCCUCCUCCUCCUCCUCGCAUUAUCUUCUGUGGCCUUUGCCGACGUGGUGCUCGGCCGCAAGGGCGGUACAGUGGAGGGUGCGGAUGUGCAGUUGCCGGGGGUGAGCAAGUACGCUGUGAUCUUCGACGCCGGGAGCACGGGCACGCGUGUGCACGUCUUCAAGUUUGACAACAAGAUGGAACUCCUUAAGAUCGAUGACCAGGUUGAGGUGUUUGCCAAGGUGUCCCCCGGGCUGAGCUCCUACUCUGGGCGGCCACUGGAAGCUGCCAAGUCCAUGAUACCACUGCUCGACAAGGCAAAGAGCAUCGUGCCUUGGUGGCAAAUGAACAGAACUCCCCUUAAACUUGGAGCCACGGCUGGGCUGAGACUUAUCGGAGAUAAGCAAUCGGAGCAGAUCCUUGAAGCGACGCUGCUCAAGAAGUUGGCAAUCACUUUCUCCACGAUGACGAUCUUCACGGGGAUCACGUUGUUGUACGGUAGCAUCCUCCAAUACGUCGGGUUGGCCAACCUCGUGUGGGGCUGGGUCAUCGUCUCCUUCUUCACCUGGUUCAUCGGCAUGGCCAUUUCGGGGAUUUCUCCUUCCCUGUAA